Molecule: ribosomal RNA, 1444 nt
Filed under: metagenome
Description: bacterial SSU rRNA
Rfam family: Bacterial small subunit ribosomal RNA
Source: RNAcentral
AGAGUUUGAUCCUGGCUCAGGAUGAACGCUGGCGGCGUGCUUAACACAUGCAAGUCGAACGAACCUUCGGGUUAGUGGCGGACGGGUGAGUAACGCGUGGGAAUCUGCCCUCAGGAGGGGGAUAACGGCUGGAAACGGCCGCUAAUACCCCAUAUGCCGAGAGGUGAAAUGAAAUUCGCCUGAGGAUGAGCCCGCGUCUGAUUAGCUAGUUGGUGGGGUAAGAGCCUACCAAGGCUUCGAUCAGUAGCUGGUCUGAGAGGAUGAUCAGCCACACUGGGACUGAGACACGGCCCAGACUCCUACGGGAGGCAGCAGUGGGGAAUUUUCCGCAAUGGGCGAAAGCCUGACGGAGCAACGCCGCGUGAGGGAUGAAGGCCUCUGGGCUGUAAACCUCUUUUCUCAAGGAAGAAGACAUGACGGUACUUGAGGAAUAAGCCACGGCUAAUUCCGUGCCAGCAGCCGCGGUAAUACGGGAGUGGCAAGCGUUAUCCGGAAUUAUUGGGCGUAAAGCGUCCGCAGGCGGCCUUGUAAGUCUGCUGUCAAAACGUGGAGCUCAACUCCAUUUCGGCAGUGGAAACUACUAGGCUUGAGUGUGGUAGGGGCAGAGGGAAUUCCCGGUGUAGCGGUGAAAUGCGUAGAUAUCGGGAAGAACACCAGUGGCGAAGGCGCUCUGCUGGGCCAUAACUGACGCUCAUGGACGAAAGCCAGGGGAGCGAAAGGGAUUAGAUACCCCUGUAGUCCUGGCCGUAAACGAUGAACACUAGGUGUCGGGGGAAUCGACCCCCUCGGUGUCGUAGCCAACGCGUUAAGUGUUCCGCCUGGGGAGUACGCACGCAAGUGUGAAACUCAAAGGAAUUGACGGGGGCCCGCACAAGCGGUGGAGUAUGUGGUUUAAUUCGAUGCAACGCGAAGAACCUUACCAGGGUUUGACAUCCUGCGAACCCCUGAGAAAUCGGGGGGUGCCUUCGGGAACGCAGAGACAGGUGGUGCAUGGCUGUCGUCAGCUCGUGUCGUGAGAUGUUGGGUUAAGUCCCGCAACGAGCGCAACCCACGUCUUUUAGUUGCCAGCAUUCAGUUGGGCACUCUAGAGAGACCGCCGGUGAUAAACCGGAGGAAGGUGUGGAUGACGUCAAGUCAUCAUGCCCCUUACAUCCUGGGCUACACACGUACUACAAUGCUACGGACAAAGGGCAGCAAGCUCGCGAGAGUAAGCAAAUCCCAUAAACCGUGGCUCAGUUCAGAUCGUAGGCUGCAACUCGCCUACGUGAAGGAGGAAUCGCUAGUAAUCGCAGGUCAGCAUACUGCGGUGAAUACGUUCCCGGGCCUUGUACACACCGCCCGUCACACCAUGGAAGUUGGCCAUGCCCGAAGUCGUUACUCCAACCCUUGUGGAGGAGGACGCCGAAGGUGGGGCUGAUGACUGGGGUGAAGUCGUAACAGGGUA